UAGGAAAUAGUUAAAUUAUAGCAUUAGUUUGUCAGACUGAAGUCAGGAGAUAGUCUCUUUUUCUUAA
RNAcentral lists this transfer RNA (67 nucleotides) under Modiolus kurilensis. RNAcentral describes it as "tRNA-Asp". It matches the Rfam family "tRNA". From Rfam's summary of the family: Transfer RNA (tRNA) molecules are approximately 80 nucleotides in length. Their secondary structure includes four short double-helical elements and three loops (D, anti-codon, and T loops). Lineage: Eukaryota; Metazoa; Mollusca; Bivalvia; Mytilida; Modiolidae. The record is from RNAcentral.